RNAcentral lists this long non-coding RNA (612 nucleotides) under Acromyrmex echinatior (Panamanian leafcutter ant). RNAcentral describes it as "uncharacterized LOC105154726, transcript variant X4". Lineage: Eukaryota; Metazoa; Arthropoda; Insecta; Hymenoptera; Formicidae. The record is from RNAcentral.
ACGACCGCAAGUGAGAACGAUAAACAGUACCUCGUGUAUGCGUCUAGUGGGGUGUUACAAUGCAAAUUGCGCAUUUAGAGCGUAUAUCACCGAGAGAAAAUUGCAGGCGAAAUAUCCGUCUCCUGCGAGUAAGCUACAUGGAGCUAUUCGGUUUCUCCGAUCUCAAACUCGGUGAUAGCAUUUUUAGAUUUAUUAAGCGGUUGAAACAAGUUAACACAGUUUCGGAUCCCAGAGGACUUCCAUUCGGGGUUGAGCCACUGUUACUGAAAGUCACGCUGCUGCUGGUCUCGCUCUCGUCUCUCGUAAAUUUCGAAGCGGUACCCUGAAACAUCACAAUCCGAAAUUCAGCAAAACGUUACUCAAGGACAUUUUUCGACCGCCGUUCUAAAAAUAUUAACGUUACGCUAAUUACAUAGCAUGGUAGUGCUCUUUGAAUCAAAAGCCAAGGCAUUCUCCAAGAAAUAUAAACUGUGAUCCUUGACGUCUGUCUCGUGCCACUCAUACGGAUCCAUACCACUUAUUGACUUCUUUCUCCGUUUUUUCUUGCGAUAUACAAUAUAAUGUAAAACGCUUAACUCGAUAAUAAAGUUAACAUAAAAUUAUAAAUAACGA